AGUGAACGCUGGCGGUAGGCCUAACACAUGCCAGUCGAACGGCAGCACAGUAAGAGCUUGCUCUUACGGGUGGCGAGUGGCGGACGGGUGAGGAAUACAUCGGAAUCUACUUUUUCGUGGGGGAUAACGUAGGGAAACUUACGCUAAUACCGCAUACGACCUACGGGUGAAAGCAGGGGAUCUUCGGACCUUGCGCGAUUGAAUGAGCCGAUGUCGGAUUAGCUAGUUGGCGGGGUAAAGGCCCACCAAGGCGACGAUCCGUAGCUGGUCUGAGAGGAUGAUCAGCCACACUGGAACUGAGACACGGUCCAGACUCCUACGGGAGGCAGCAGUGGGGAAUAUUGGACAAUGGGCGCAAGCCUGAUCCAGCCAUACCGCGUGGGUGAAGAAGGCCUUCGGGUUGUAAAGCCCUUUUGUUGGGAAAGAAAAGGAGCAGGUUAAUACCCCGCUGUUCUGACGGUACCCAAAGAAUAAGCACCGGCUAACUUCGUG
RNAcentral lists this ribosomal RNA (492 nucleotides) under uncultured bacterium. RNAcentral's name for it is "partial 16S ribosomal RNA". It matches the Rfam family "Bacterial small subunit ribosomal RNA", at positions 29 to 507 of the family's 1533-position model. The record is from RNAcentral.